Molecule: long non-coding RNA, 734 nt
Organism: Nematostella vectensis (starlet sea anemone)
Lineage: Eukaryota; Metazoa; Cnidaria; Anthozoa; Actiniaria; Edwardsiidae
Exons: 2
Source: RefSeq, a predicted model, not a curated record
GCUUUGCAGAUAGAAGACGGCUCAACAGGGCCCGUAAAACCAAAAUGUACCGGGCGUCCCUCGCUUUAUGGCCGAGAGGGGCUUGGGCCCAAGGCGCAAAAUCAUAACGGUCGAACGAAACCAUUAUCAUAACCUCCAAACAGAUAGCCGUUUAUUCCCGUCUUUUCUACGCGUAAUCCACCUUUUUUGAGGAUUUGAUGGCAGAACAUGGAUUGAAGUUAAAGGACAUUAUGAUAGAGAUAGUAAAAUGUGCUCGAGUUGAAAGCCAGAAAAGAAAGAAGUUUGAGGUAUAAGGAAUGUAUCAAUGCGUAAAUCGCAAGAAACGAAUAAAAACUUUGUAAACUUAAGUUAUUCACUAAUCACUGUACUUACAUCUAAAGCGCCUAUGCUUUAUAAACUGUUACUUGAAGCACAAAAUUGAAUAACUUAGCUUAGUAAAAACCUAGUAAUCAGUCUUGCACCUAAAAUUUGUCCAGAUAUUUAUUUUGAAUAUCUAAUGUUACUGUAGUUGGUUUUUGUCCGUAUAUUCUGAUCACAGUAAACCCUGCAUAUGAAGAACCUAGUUAUCUUUUCAAGCUAGCCUACCAGGUUCAAAUUUAAAUGGUGCAUAUAGAGGCAUUAGGUUUCUAGCUUCUUAUCUGAAUAUACAAAGAUGGAGGAGGAGGCAGUUCUUUUGGAAAACCGUAAUGACGCCAAAAAGGGUAAUGUUCAAAAGCUGUUAAAGUUGUUAUAGA